This 458-nucleotide ribosomal RNA is filed under the name uncultured bacterium. RNAcentral describes it as "partial 16S ribosomal RNA". It matches the Rfam family "Bacterial small subunit ribosomal RNA", at positions 338 to 795 of the family's 1533-position model. The record is from RNAcentral.
CCUACGGGGGGCAGCAGUGAGGAAUAUUGGUCAAUGGGCGAGAGCCUGAACCAGCCAAGUCGCGUGAGGGAGUACUGCCCUAUGGGUUGUAAACCUCUUUUGUCGGGGAGCAAAAGCCGGACGUGUCCGGCUGUGAGAGUACCCGAAGAAAAAGCAUCGGCUAACUCCGUUCCAGCAGCCGCGGUAAUACGGAGGAUGCGAGCGGUAUCCGGAUUUAUUGGGUUUAAAGGGUGCGCAGGCGGAUUUUUAAGUCAGCGGUAAAAUCGUGGGGCUCAACCCCAUCCAGCCGUUGAAACUGGGGAUCUAGAGUGUGCGAGAGGUAUGCGGAAUGCGUGGUGUAGCGGUGAAAUGCAUAGAUAUCACGCAGAACCCCGAUUGCGAAGGCAGCAUACCGGUGCACAACUGACGCUCAGGCACGAAAGCGUGGGUAUCGAACAGGAUUAGAUACCCCGGUAGUC